Molecule: ribosomal RNA, 441 nt
Filed under: uncultured bacterium
Lineage: Bacteria
Description: partial 16S ribosomal RNA
Rfam family: Bacterial small subunit ribosomal RNA
Source: RNAcentral
CCUACGGGGGGCAGCAGUGGGGAAUAUUGCACAAUGGGGGAAACCCUGAUGCAGCAACGCCGCGUGAAGGAAGACGGUUUUCGGAUUGUAAACUUCUGUUCUUAGUGAAGAAUAAUGACGGUAGCUAAGCAGCAAGCCACGGCUCACUACGUGCCAGCAGCCGCGGUAAUACGUAGGUGGCAAGCGUUGUGCGGAAUUACUGGGUGUAAAGGGAGCGCAGGCGGGAAGCCAAGUCAGCUGUGAAAACUACGGGCUUAAAUUGUAGACUGCAGUUGAAACUGGUUUUCUUGAGUGAAGGAGAGGUAGGCGGAAUGCCGAGUGUAGCGGUGAAAUGCGUAGAUAUUGGGAGGAACUCCGGUGGCGAAGGCGGCCAACUGGCGUUUAACUGACGCUGAGGCACGAAAGUGUGGGGAGCGAACAGGAUUAGAUACCCCUGUAGUC